UUCUUGGUCAUUUAGAGGAAGUAAAAGUCGUAACAAGGUUUCCGUAGGUGAACCUGCGGAAGGAUCAUUAAAGAAAUUUAAUAAUUUUGAAAAUGGAUUUUUUUGUUUUGGCAAGAGCAUGAGAGCUUUUACUGGGCAAGAAGACAAGAGAUGGAGAGUCCAGCCGGGCCUGCGCUUAAGUGCGCGGUCGUGCUAGGCUUGUAAGUUUCUUUCUUGCUAUUCCAAACGGUGAGAGAUUUCUGUGCUUUUGUUAUAGGACAAUUAAAACCGUUUCAAUACAACACACUGUGGAGUUUUCAUAUCUUUGCAACUUUUCCUUUGGGCAUUCGAGCAAUCGGGGCCCAGAGGUAACAAACACAAACAAUUUUAUCUAUUCAUUAAAUUUUUGUCAAAAACAAGAAUUUUCGUAACUGGAAAUUUUAAAAUAUUAAAAACUUUCAACAACGGAUCUCUUGGUUCUCGCAUCGAUGAAGAACGCAGCGAAAUGCGAUACGUAAUGUGAAUUGCAGAAUUCCGUGAAUCAUCGAAUCUUUGAACGCACAUUGCGCCCCUUGGUAUUCCAGGGGGCAUGCCUGUUUGAGCGUCAUUUCCUUCUCAAACAUUCUGUUUGGUAGUGAGUGAUACUCUUUGGAGUUAACUUGAAAUUGCUGGCCUUUUCAUUGGAUGUUUUUUUUCCAAAGAGAGGUUUCUCUGCGUGCUUGAGGUAUAAUGCAAGUACGGUCGUUUUAGGUUUUACCAACUGCGGCUAAUCUUUUUUUAUACUGAGCGUAUUGGAACGUUAUCGAUAAGAAGAGAGCGUCUAGGCGAACAAUGUUCUUAAAGUUUGACCUCAAAUCAGGUAGGAGUACCCGCUGAACUUAAGCAUAUCAAUAAGCGGAGGAA
Molecule: ribosomal RNA, 882 nt
Filed under: uncultured fungus
Lineage: Eukaryota; Fungi
Description: eukaryotic LSU rRNA
Rfam family: 5.8S ribosomal RNA (bases 433-586)
Source: RNAcentral